RNAcentral lists this ribosomal RNA (484 nucleotides) under uncultured bacterium. RNAcentral describes it as "partial 16S ribosomal RNA". The stretch from base 51 to 484 matches the Rfam family "Bacterial small subunit ribosomal RNA", at positions 39 to 507 of the family's 1533-position model. The record is from RNAcentral.
GGGGGGGGGGGGCGGGGGGGCGAGGGGAGGGAAGGCGGGCGGAGGGGGGGGGGGGGGGCCGGGGUGCGGGGGGGGGCGGGGGGGUGAGGCCUAGGAGGCUGCCGGGGAGGGGGGGAUGGGGUCCGGAAGGGGGCGCGGAUACCGCAGACGACCUGAGGGGGAACGGGGGGGAUCGUCGGACCUCACGCGUUCAGAUGAGCCUAGGUCGGAUUAGCUAGUUGGUGGGGUAAGGGCCUACCAAGGCGACGAUCCGUAACUGGUCUGAGAGGAUGAUCAGCCACACUGGAACUGAGACACGGUCCAGACUCCUACGGGAGGCAGCAGUGGGGAAUCUUGGGCAAUGGGCGAAAGCCUGAUCCAGCCAUGCCGCGUGUGUGAAGAAGGUCUUCGGAUUGUAAAGCACUGUAAGUUGGGAAGAAGGGCAGUGUGUCAAUACCUGGCUGUCUUGACGGUACCAACAGAGUAAGCACCGGCUAACUACGUG